RNAcentral lists this transfer RNA (71 nucleotides) under Patescibacteria group bacterium. Its description in RNAcentral is "tRNA-Ala". It matches the Rfam family "tRNA". Rfam says of the family: Transfer RNA (tRNA) molecules are approximately 80 nucleotides in length. Their secondary structure includes four short double-helical elements and three loops (D, anti-codon, and T loops). RNAcentral also lists the same sequence under 1 other name. The record is from RNAcentral.
GGGCCCGUAGUUCAACGGCAAAACGCCGCAUUCGCAUUGCGGAGGUGUGGGUUCAAUUCCCGCCGGGUCCA